UUUUUUUUUGUCACCAAAGAUGAACAGGUUUUCUAGGCGUGUGAAAAAUUUCGUGGAAAUACUACAUCAGAGCAGCUCUGGACAAAAAAAUACAAAACUAGGAGUUUUGAGAAAUGCUCAACUUGGAGCAUUGGUUUUGUUUUUUCUUACCCGGGCUUUCCUGGUCCAAUGUCAUAUUCUCAUGAUUUUUCAUGCUUUAUCUUUGGAGUACAAAAAACAGUUUUUUUAUUUGCUUGCAAUUUUGUUUGAAUUUACUGGUCACCCGAAAGCAUAUGAGCUCGUGAUCAGCUAUGGAUUUUCGGAGCCACCUAAUGCUUGUAUUUUUACUUAUAUUUUGAUUGAAUGGCGUUGUUGAUAUUUACCUUAAGCUAUGUUUGUCAUUCUUAGCCCAAAGUCAAUGGAGGGACAUAGAAUCGUAGGCAGGAUUUCUGGUCAAGGUGGUUCAAUUGAUAUUCAAAAUAUAUUUACACCACAACACAACAUGCUAGCAGAGGCGGAGCUAUGCGUUAAUCUGACAGGGCCACUGCCCACCCCUAGCUUUGAAGAAAUUUAUGAUAUUUCUUAUUGGGGUUCCAUGGAAAAUAAAAAAAUUCUAUGCACACGCAAGAUCUAUCCAUGGAGAUGCAUAGCUACGAGAGGGAAGAGUGUGUCUACAUACACUCAUAGACCGUUUACGCAGAAGCAUUUAUCACGUGGUUGAUGUAGUCGUACUCUUUGCGAUCCGAUCACGAUCCAACCGACCUAGUGCCGAACGAACGGCACCUCCGAGUCUAGCACACGUGUGGCUUGAUGACGUCUCAUCCUUCUUGAUCCAGCAAGCGGGAGAGGAGAAGUAGAUGGAAUCACAACCAACAAGACGGCAUGGUGGUGAUGGUGGUGGUGUGAAAGUGCGUUAUAUCGACUAGAGGGGGGUGAAUAGGCGAUUUUUAUGAAUUCUUCACUAAGGAAUUUGCUGAUGAGGAAAUUCCUAAAUGAAGAACUACUUGCAGCGGAAUAAGUACUCAGAAAGGAACAUAACAGAACACAAGGGCAGUCAUCAUGAUGAAAUGAAGACAAGCACAGAGUAUAGAAAGCGUAAACACGGGAUAACACAAGAGAAGACAGACGGACUGAAGAAAUUGAACUGAGGAAGUUGAGAAAGUCUUCAGUUAAAAGUCUUCAAACAGAUAUGAACAGGCACAUAACAACAUACAUGAGGAAAUGAAAGGGUUGAGGAAAUAGAACCAGUUAGCUCGGCGAAGACAAUGAUUUGGUAGACCAGUUCCAAUUGCUGUCUCAGUUAUACAUCUGGUUGGAGCGGCUGAGUAUUUAAAUUCGAGGACACCCAGUCCCAGACACACAGUCCUCACCGUAUUCUCCUUGAGCUAAGGUCACACAGACCUCGCCCAAUCGCUCAUGGUAAGUCUUCAGGUGACUUCCGAACCUUCACAAACUUGGUCACUCGGUGAUCCACAAUUCCUCUUGGAUGCUCUAGACCUUGACGCCUAACCGUCUGGAAGAAGCACAGUCUUCAAAGGAAACAAGCGUCCGAUCCACACAGGAUCAAUCUCUUCAGUGAUGCUCAAUCACUUGGGGUUUUGUAGGUUUGGGUUUGGGUUUUCCUCACUUGAUGAUUUUCGCUCAAAGUCCUCGGAGGAUGGGUUGCUCUGAAAUGACAAGUGUCAGUUUCUCUCGGAGCAGCCAACCAGCUAGUGGUUGAAGGGGGCGGCUAUUUAUAGCCUAGGGAGCAGCCCGACAUGAUAAGACAUAAAUGCCCUUGUCUGAUAUGACCGUUAGGUGGGUAGAUAUUUUGGAACCGCUGGCGCGUAGCAUAGCAAUGGUCAGAAUUUUGACUAUCAAAAUCCUCAGGGCUAUCAUGUUCCUCACUGUGUGGGUAAUUCACACUGGUGAAUUCCUAACUCUUCAGUCAGAACAAAUUCCUCAGAGAUCAGAAGAACAUCGUCUCUGUUACUGAAGAAUAUGACUGAACUUUAUGAGAUUUCCAAUGGCUUCACUCGAAGGGAUUGGUAGGUGUAGGAUUUUGAGUUGAGCAUCACAUGGAAAAUUUUCCUUAGUAUUUCCUCGACCCCCUUUAACAGUACGAUGUUUCCUAUGACUCAAGAAAGAGAAAAUGAAACUAUAAAAAUAAAAGUCUUCACGCUUCAUGUUCCUCGAAAGAACACCAAGUCUUCAAGGUCACACCAAUUUCUUCACUUUCAAAGUCUUCAGAAAGUCUUCAAAUGAAGAACUUCAUUUUUAGGGGUCGACAUUCUCUGUAAAUAUCAAACUCCUCAUAGAAUUAUAUACCUGUGUACACUCACAAACGCAUCAGUCCCUUAACCUAUAAGUCUUCAAUACACCAAAAUCACUAAGGAGCACUAGAUGCACUUACAAUCUCCUCCUUUUUGGUGAUUGAUGACAAUAUAGGUUAAGUUUUCAACGGGGAUAAACAUAUGAAGUGUAACUAAUGAUAUUGAGGAAUUUGAUUGCAAGAUAUAGAAGAACUCCCCCUGAAAAUGUGCAUAGUGAGGAAUUAGCUUUUGAAGCAAUGCACACUUGAAGAGUAAAAUCAUGGAGAUCCCCCCCCCCCCCUAUAUCUUGUAAUUCAUACACGCAUUUGACAUAUAAUAUGAGGAAUUUGAAAUGCAUGAUGAAAUAUGGUGACUGAUGUAAUUCAGCAUGCAUGCAUUAACAUAAAUGAGGAAUAAUCAUGUAGAAGAACACAGAAAAAGUAUCAAGCCACCAUAGAGUUUAAGAUUACAACUCAAUCUAGCAAAGUCAUGAGAAGAAUGAGAGUUGUAACUUAGCAAAAAAACGCCCAUAUAUAGACCCGCUUGAAGACUAACUCAAAUUUCUCCCCCUUUGUCAUCAAAUGUCCAAAAGGGUUGAAACUGAGGACUAACGCCCCUGAAGAAUAUCAUGAUGAUGGAGAAGCGCUAGCGUUGUCAGGGUCUUGAGUCGUUGUAGGGCCUGCUGCAGUGUCGUCCAAGUCUUCAUGCUCGUCCAUGUCGCGCGAUGAAGAAUAUGAGCUGGCCACCAAGGGAGGAACCUUGUGUUGGGGAACGUAGUAAUUUCAAAAAAAUUCCUACGCACACGCAAGAUCAUGGUGAUGGCAUAGCAAUGAGAGGGGAGAGUGUUGUCCACGUACCCUCGUAGACCGUAAGCGGAAGCGUUAGCACAACGCGGUUGAUGUAGUCGUACGUCUUCACGAUCCGACCGAUCCAAGUACCGAACGUACGGCACCUUCGAGUUCAGCACACGUUCAGCUCGAUGACGAUCCCCGGGCUCCAAUCCAGCAAAGCUUCGGGGAUGAGUUCCGUCAGCACGAUGGUGUGGUGAUGAUGAUGAUGUUCUACCGGCGCAGGGCAUCGCCUAAACUCCGCGACGAUAUGACCGAGGUGGAAUAUGAUGGAGGGGGGCACCGCACACGACUAAGGAAUGAUCCGUAGAUCAACUUGUGUCUCAUGGGGUGCCCCCCUGCCCCCGUAUAUAAAGGAGGGAGGAGGGAGGUGCGGCCGGCCUAGGAGGGGGCGCGCCAAGGGGAGUCCUACUCCCACCGGGAGUAGGACUCCCUCCUUCCUUGUUGGAGUAGGAGAAGUGGAAAGAGGGGGAGAGGAAAAGGAAAAGGGGGCUGCCCCCUUGUCCAAUUCGGAUCAGAGGGGGGGCGCAGGCCUCUUUCCUUUUGGCCUCUCUCCUCUAUUCCCGUAUAGCCCAAUAAGGCCCAUAUACUUCCCUGCGAAUUCCCGUAACUCUCCGGUACUCCAAAAAAUACCCGAAUCACUCGGAACCUUUCUGAAUUCCGAAUAUAGUCGUCCAAUAUAUCGAUCUUUACGUCUCGACCAUUUCGAGACUCCUCGUCAUGUCCCUGAUCUCAUCCGGGACUCCGAACUCCUUCGGUACAUCAAAACUCAUAAACUCAUAAUAUAACUGUCAUCGAAACCUUAAGCGUGCGGACCCUACGGGUUCGAGAACAAUGUAGACAUGACCUAGAACUAUUCUUGGUCAAUAACCAAUAGCGGAACCUGGAUGCCCAUAUUGGCUCCUACAUAUUCUACGAAGAUCUUUAUCGGUCAAACCGCAUAACAACAUACUUUGUUCCCUUUGUCAUCGGUAUGUUACUUGCCCGAGAUUCGAUCGUCGGUAUCUAAUACCUAGUUCAAUCUCGUUACCGGCAAGUCUCUUUACUCGUUACGUAAUGCAUCAUCCCAUAACCAACUCAUUGGUCACAUUGCUUGCAAGGCUUAUAGUGAUGUGCAUUACCGAGAGGGCCCAGAGAUACCUCUCCGACAAUCGGAGUGACAAAACCUAAUCUCGAAAUACACCAACUCAACAUGUACCUUCGGAGACACCUGUAGUACUCCUUUAUAAUCACCCAGUUACGUUGUGACGUUUGGUAGCACCCAAAGUGUUCCUCCGGUAAACGGGAGUUGCAUAAUCUCAUAGUUACAGGAACAUGUAUAAGUCAUGAAGAAAGCAAUAGCAACAUACUAAACGAUCAAGUGCUAAGCUAACGGAAUGGGUCAAGUCAAUCACAUCAUUCUCCUAAUGAUGUGAUCCCGUUAAUCAAAUGACAACUCUUUUGUCCAUGGUUAGGAAACAUAACCAUCUUUGAUAAACGAGCUAGUCAAGUAGAGACAUACUAGUGACACUAUGUUUGUCUAUGUAUUCACACAUGUAUUAUGUUUCCGGUUAAUACAAUUCUAGCAUGAAUAAUAAACAUUUAUCAUGAAAUAAGGAAAUAAUAAUAACUUUAUUAUUGCCUCUAGGGCAUAUUUCCUUCAGUCUCCCACUUGCACUAGAGUCAAUAAUCUAGUUCACAUCGCCAUGUGAUUUAACACCAAUAUUCACAUCUGUAUGUGAUUAAUACCCAUAGUUCACAUCGUCAUGUGAUCAACACCCAAAAGGUUUACUAGAGUCAAUAAUCUAGUUCACAUCUCUAUGUGAUUAACACCCAAAGAGUACUAAGGUAUGAUCAUGUUUUGCUUCUGAGAGAAGUUUAGUCAACGGAUCUGUCAUAUUCAGAGUCGUAUGUAUUUUGCAAAUAUUCUAUGUCCACAAUGCUCUGCAUGGAGCUACUCUAGCUAAUUGCUCCCACUUUCAAUAUGUAUCCAGAUUGAGACUUAGAGUCAUCUGGAUUGGUGUAAAAGCUAGCAUUGUUGUAACCUUUUACGACGGGCUCUUUUAUCACCUCCAUAAUCGAGAAACAUCUCCUUAGUCCUCACUAAGGAUAUUCUUGACCGCUGUCCAGUGAUCUACUCUUAGAUCAAAAUUGUAUUCCUUUGUCAAACUCAGAGCAAGGUAUACAAUAGGUCCGGUUCACAGCAUAGCAUACUUUAUAGAACCUAUGACUGAGGCAUAGGGAAUGAAUUUUCAUUCUCUUUCUAUUUUCUGCCAUGGUCGGGUCUUGAGUCUUACUCAACUUCAUACCUUUGCAUCACAGGCAAGAACUCCUUCUUUGACUGUUCCAUUUUGUACUAUUUCAAAAAUUUAUCAAGGUAUGUACUCAUUGAAAAAUCUUAUCAAGCGUCUUGAUCUAUCUAUAUAGAUAUUGAUGCUCAAUGUGUAAGCAGCUUCACCGAGGUCUUGCUUUGAAAAACUCUUAUUCAAGUAUCCUUUCAUGCUAUCCAGAAUUUCUAUAUCAUUUCCAAUCAACAAUAUGUCAUCCACAUAUAAUAUUAGAAAUGCUACAGAGCUCCCACUCACUUUCUUGUAAAUACAGGCUUCUUCAAAAGUCUGUAUAAAACUAUAUGCUUUGAUCAACUCAUCAAAGCGUAUAUUCCAACUCCGAGAUGCUUGCACCAGUCCAUAGAUUGAUCGCUGGAGCUUGCACAAUUUGUUAGCACCUUUAGGAUUGACAAAACCUUCUGGUUGCAUCAUAUACAACUCUUCUUUAAGAAAACCAUUAAGGAAUGCAGUUUUGACAUCCAUUUGCCAGAUUUCAUAAAUGUGGCAAUUGCUAACAUGAUUCGGACAGACUUAAGCAUUGCUACAGUUGAGAAAAUCUCAUUGUAGUCAACACCUUGAACUUGUCGAAAAACCUUUUCUUAACAAGUCGAGCUUAGUAGAUAGUAAUACUACUAUCAGUGUCCGUCUUCCUCUUGAAGAUCCAUUUAUUUAACAUGGCUUGCUGAUCAUCGAGCAAGUCAAUCAAAGUCCAUACUUUGUUCUCAUACAUGGAUCAUAUCUCAGAUUUUAUGGCCUCAAGCCAUUUCGCGGAAUCUGGGCUCAUCGUCGCUUCCUCAUAGUUCGUAGGUUCAUCAUGGUCAAGUAACAUGACUUCCAAAAUAGGAUUACCGUACCACUCUAGUGCGGAUCUUAUUCUGGUAGACCUAUGAGGUUUUUGUAGUAACUUGAUCUGAAGUUUCAUGAUCAUCAUCAUUAGCUUCUUCACUAAUUGGUGUAGGAAUCACUAGAACUGAUUUCUGUGAUUAACUACUUUCCAAUUCGGGAGGAGGUACAAAUUACCUCAUCAAGCUCUUACUUUCCUCCCACUCACUUCUUUCGAGAGAAACUCCUUCUCUAGAAAGGAUCCAUCUUAGCAACGAAUAACUUGCCUUCGGAUCUAUGAUAGAAGGUGUACCUAAUAGUUACCUUUGGGUAUUCUAUGAAGACGCACUUCUCCGAUUUGGGUUCGAGCUUAUCAGGUGAAAACUUUUUCACAUAAUCUUCACAACUCCAAACUUUAAGAAACGACAGCUUAGGUUUACUAUUUAACCAUAGUUCAUACGGUGUCGUCUCAACGGAUUUAGAUGGUGCCCUAUUAAACGUGAAUGCAACUGUCUCUAAUGCAUAACCCCAAAACGAUAGUGGUAAACCGAUAAGAGACAUCAUAGAUUGCACCAUAUCCAAUAAAGUGCGGUUACGACGUUCGGACACACCAUAACGUUGUGGUGUUCCAGGUGGCGUGAGCUGUGAAACUAUUCCACAUUGUUUUAAUUGAAGACCAAACUCGUAACUCAAAUAUUCAUCUCCGCGAUCAGAUCGCAUAAACUUUAUUUUCUUGUUACGAUGAUUUUUCCACUUCACUCUGAAAUUCUUUGAACCUUUCAACUAUUUCAGACUUAUGUUUCAUCAAGUAGAUAUACCCAUAUCUGCUCAAAUCAUCUGUGAAGGUCAGAAAAUAACGAUACUUGCCACGAGCAUCAACACUCAUUGGAUCGCAUACAUAGGUAUGUAUUAUUUCCAAUAAGUCAGUAGCUCGUUCCAUUGUUCCGGAGAACGGAGUUUUAGUCAUCUUGCCCAAUAGGCACGGUUCGCAAGCAUCAAAUGAUUCAUAACCAAGUGAUUCCAAAAAUCCAUCUUUAUGGAGUUUCUUCAUGCGCUUUACACCGAUAUGACCCAAACGACAGUGCCACAAAUAAGUUGCACUAUCAUUAAUGCAUCUUUUGGUUUCAACAUUAUGAAUAUGUGUAUCACUACGAUCGAGAUCCAACAAACUAUUUUCAUUGGGUGUAUGACCAUUGAAGGUUUUAUUCAUGUAAACAGAACAACAAUUAUUCUCUGACUUUAAAUGAAUAACCGUAUUGCAAUAAACAUGAUCAAAUCAUAUUCAUGCUCAACGCAAACGCCAAAUAACAUUUAUUUAGGUUUAACACUAAUCCCGAAAGUAUAGGGAGUGUGCGAUGAUGAUCAUAUCAAUCUUGGAACCACUCCCAACACACAUCGUCACUUCACCCUUAACUAGUCUCUGUUUAUUCUGUAAAUCCUGUUUCGAAUUACUAAUCUUAGCAACCGAACAUGUAUCAAAUACUCAGGGGCUACUAUAAACACUAGUAAGGCACACAUUAACCUGUAUAUCAAAUAUACCCUUGUUCACUUUGCCAUCCUUCUUAUCCACCAAAUUCAGGGCAUUUCCGCUUCCAGUGACCAUUUCCUUUGCAGUGUAAGCACUCAGUUUCAGGCUUUGGUCCAGCUUUGGUCUUCUUCACGGGAGUGACAACUUGUUUGCCAUUCUACUUGAAGUUUCCCUUUCUUUCCCUUUACCCUUUUUCUUGAAACUAGUGGUCUUGUCAAUCAUCAACACUUGAUGCUCUUUCUUGAUUUCUACCUUCGUCGAUUUCAACAUCACGAAGAGCUCGGGAAUCGUUUCCGUCAUCCCUUGCAUACUAUAGUUCAUCACAAAGUUCUAGAAACCCAGUGAUGGUGACUAGAGAAUUCUGUCAAUCACUAUCUUAUCUGGAAGAUUAACUCCCACUUGAUUCAAGCGAUUGUAGUACCCAGACAAUCUGAGCACAUGCUCACUAGUUGAGCGAUUCUCCUCCAACUUUUAGCUAUAGAACUUGUUGGAGACUUCAUAUCUCUCAACUCGGGUAUUUGCUAGAAAUAUUAACUUCAACUCCUGGAACAUCUCAUAUGGUCCAUGACGUUCAAAACGUCUUUGAAGUCCCGAUUCUAAGCCAUAAAGCAUGGUGCAUAAAACUAUCAAGUAGUCAUCAUAUUGAGCUAGCCAAAUGUUCAUAACGUCUGCAUUUGCUCCUGCAAUAGGUCUGUCACCUAGCGGUGCAUCAAGGACAUAAUUCUUCUGUGCAGCAAUGAGGAUAAACCUCAGAUCACGGAUCCAAUCCGCAUCAUUGCUACUAAUAUCUUUCAACACAAUUUUCUCUAGGAACAUAUCAAAAUAAACAUAUGAAAGCAACAACGCAAGCUAUUGAUCUACAACAUAAUUUGCAAAAUACUACCAGGACUAAGUUCAUGAUAAAUUAAAGUUCAAUUAAUCAUAUUACUAAAGAACUCCCACUUAGACAGACAUCUCUCUAGCCAUCUAAGUGAUUACGUGAUCCAAAUCAACUAAACCAUGUCCGAUCAUCACGUGAGAUGGAGUAGUUUCAAUGGUGAACAUCAUUAUGUUGAUCAUAUCUACUAUAUGAUUCAUGCUCGACCUUUCGGUCUCCGUGUUCCGAGGCCAUAUCUGUAUAUGCUAGGCUCGUUAAGUUUAACCCGAGUAUUCCGCGUGUGCAACUGUUUUGCACCCGUUGUAUCUGAACAUAGAGCCUAUCACACCCGAUCAUCACGUGGUGUCUCAGCACGAAGAACUUUCGCAACGGUGCAUACUCAGGGAGAACACUUCUUGAUAAUUAGUGAGAGAUCAUCUUAAAAUGCUACCGUCAAACAAAACAGAAUAAGAUGUAUAACAAAUAAACAUCAUAUGCAAUCAAAAUAUGUGACAUGAUAUGGCCAUGAUCAUCUUGCGCCUUUGAUCUCCAUCUCCAAAGUACUGUCAUGAUCUCUAUCGUUACCGGCACGACACCAUGAUCUUCAUCAUCUUGAUCUAUAUCAAUGUGUCGUCACAUGGUCGUCUCGCCAACUAUUGCUCUUGCAACUAUUGCUAUCGCAUAGCGAUAAAGUAAAGCAAUUAUUUGGCACUUGCAUCUUAUGCAACAAAGAGACAACCAUAGAGCUUCUGCCAGUUGCCGAUAACUUCAACAAAACAUGAUCAUCUCAUACAACAACUUAUAUCUCAUCACGUCUUGACCAUAUCACAUCACAACAUGCCCUGAAAAAACAAGUUAGACGUCCUCUACUUUGUUGUUGCAAGUUUUACGUGGCUGCUACGGGCUGAGCAAGAACCGUUCUUACCUACGCAUCAAAACCACAAUGAUAGUUCGUCAAGUUAGUGUUGUUUUAACCUUCGCAAGGACCGGGCGUAGCCACACUCAGUUCAACUAAAGUUGGAGAAACAGACACCCGCUAGUCACCUGUGUGCAAAGCACGGCGGUAAAACCAGUCUCGCGUAAGCGUACGCGUAAUGUCGGUCCGGGCCGCUUCAUCCAACAAUACCGCUGAACCAAAGUAUGACAUGCUGGUAAGCAGUAUGACUUGUAUCGCCCACAACUCACUUGUGUUCUACUCGUGCAUAUAACAUCAACGCAUAAAACCUAGGCUCGGAUGCCACUGUUGGGGAACGUAGUAAUUUCAAAAAAAUUCCUACGCACACGCAAGAUCAUGGUGAUGGCAUAGCAACGAGAGGGGAGAGUGUUGUCCACGUACCCUCGUAGACCGUAAGCGGAAGCGUUACCACAACGCGGUUGAUGUAGUCGUACGUCUUCACGAUCCGACCGAUCCAAGUACCGAACGUACGGCACCUCCGAGUUCAGCACACGUUCAGCUCGAUGACGAUCCCCGGGCUCCGAUCCAGCAAAGCUUCGGGGAUGAGUUCCGUUAGCACGACGGCGUGGUGACGAUGAUGAUGUUCUACUGGUGCAGGGCUUCGCCUAAACUCCGCGACGAUAUGAUCGAGGUGGAAUAUGAUGGAGGGGGGCACCGCACACGGCUAAGGAAUGAUCCGUAGAUCAACUUGUGUCUCAUGGGGUGCCCCCUGCCCCCGUAUAUAAAGGAGGGAGGGGGGAGGUGCGGCCGGCCUAGGAGGGGGCGCGCCAAGGGGAGUCCUACUCCCACCGGGAGUAGGACUCCCUCCUUCCUUGUUGGAGUAGGAGAAGUGGAAAGAGGGGGAGAGGGAAAAGGAAAAGGGGGCUGCCCCCUUGUCCAAUUCGGAUCAAAGGGGGGGCGCAGGCCUCUUUCCUUUUGGCCUCUCUCCUCUAUUCCCGUAUAGCCCAAUAAGGCCCAUAUACUCCCCGGCGAAUUCCCGUAACUCUCCGGUACUCCAAAAAAUACCCGAAUCACUCGGAACCUUUCCGAACUCCGAAUAUAGUCGUCCAAUAUAUCGAUCUUUACGUCUCGACCAUUUCGAGACUCCUCGUCAUGUCCCUGAUCUCAUCCGGGACUCCGAACUCCUUCGGUACAUCAAAACUCAUAAACUCAUAAUAUAACUGUCAUCGAAACCUUAAGCGUGCGGACCCUACGGGUUCGAGAAUAAUGUAGACAUGACCUAGAACUAUUCUUGGUCAAUAAUCAAUAGCGGAACCUGGAUGCCCAUAUUGGCUCCUACAUAUUCUACGAAGAUCUUUAUCGGUCAAACCGCAUAACAACAUACUUUGUUCCCUUUGUCAUCGGUAUGUUACUUGACCGAGAUUCGAUCGUCGGUAUCUAAUACCUAGUUCAAUCUCGUUACCAGCAAGUCUCUUUACUCGUUACGUAAUGCAUCAUCCCGUAACCAACUCAUUGGUCACAUUGCUUGCAAGGCUUAUAGUGAUUUGCAUUACCGAGAGGGCCCAGAGAUACCUCUCCGACAAUCGGAGUGACAAAACCUAAUCUCGAAAUACGCCAACUCAACAUGUACCUUCGGAGACACCUGUAGUACUCCUUUAUAAUCACCCAGUUACGUUGUGACGUUUGGUAGCACCCAAAGUGUUCCUCCGGUAAACGGGAGUUGCAUAAUCUCAUAGUUAUAGGAACAUGUAUAAGUCAUGAAGAAAGCAAUAACAACAUACUAAACGAUCAAGUGCUAAGCUAACGGAAUGGGUCAAGUCAAUCACAUCAUUCUCCUAAUGAUGUGAUCCCGUUAAUCAAAUGACAACUCUUUUGUCCAUGGUUAGGAAACAUAACCAUCUUUGAUAAACGAGCUAGUCAAGUAGAGGCAUACUAGUGACACUAUGUUUGUCUAUGUAUUCACACAUGUAUUAUGUUUCCGGUUAAUACAAUUCUAGCAUGAAUAAUAAACAUUUAUCAUGAAAUAAGGAAAUAAAUAAUAACUUUAUUAUUGCCUCUAGGGAAUAUUUCCUUCACCUUGACCUUCUUGUAUCUCUUCGGAGGAGGAGCAGACCAGUCAAAGUCUUCCUUGAAGCCCAUUUGCUUCAGAUCUUCUUCACCAUAUAGAUGUGACAGAAUAGCCCAGGUGCGAUCAAAUACUUCAUGGAGGUAGUAGUGGUUUUUCUUCACUGCAUUAUGUGUGGAAGUCAUGUUGUGAAGAAUAGAACCAAACUGACGCUUAACCCACUUGUGAUUUCGAUCGACCUUCUGGUGAAGACUUAUUAGCAGUUCACGGUCAGUCAUCACACGAGGAGCAGUAGCUUGAGGACUUGACUUUGGAGCAUCCGCAGCAGAAUCAUGUGUGGCAGAGUCAUCAUUGGUGGAGUAGGAUGCAGCUUUGCGGAACUGACCAUCCAAUGGACGAGUGCCUUCAUCGAUCACAGCUGGUGACUUGCCCUUCUCAUCGGAUGAGGAAAUUGUUCGCUUGAGGACUUAAAUAGGGGGCAAGUAGCUGAGGUGAUUCUGAAAAUCUGCCUUGUAGUUGAGUGAAGACCUUGUUCUGAGGAAUCUCAUGAUCCACGGUGCGUAAGGCUUCAGCUCAAAUGGUGAAAGUGCAACAUUCGCUAGAGUCCUCAUGAAGAAAUCGUGAUAAUUUAUGGGGAUGCAAUGCAUGAUAUUGAAAAGCAUAUUCUUCAUCAUUCUGAUAAUUUCUUCAUCGGAUGAGUCAUGCCCUUUGAUGGUACUUAUGGUCUUCAUCAGAAUGCGGUAGAUGGUUCUGGGCACAUAGAGCAAUUUCUUCACGAGGAAUUUGGUCCUUGGAGCUUGUCCUGGCUUCAGCGGCUUCAUGAGCACUUGCAUGUAAUGAUCAGUAAGUUCAGGUUCAUCAUACAGACAGCGAGCAUCGUCAGGUGGAGGACUGAUAGGUAAGGCCCGAAGCAAUUCAGUUGCUGGUGCCUUGUAAUGAGUGUUUUCAGUCAUCCAGUCCAACACCCACGAGUUGACGUCAGCAGCAUCGCCUAUGAUAUGAAAGUUGCAUAGAACUGAAGAAUAAGCUCUUCAUUCCAAUCAACUAUGUCUGAGCAGAAAUUUAGCAAGCCAGCGUCAUGAAUCAUGCUGGGGACUUGGGAGAAGCAAGGCAGUGAUUCCAUGUCCACAUGAGGAAUAUGCUCAUGAUCGAAGACUUUGUCUUUGUUGAAGAGCACUAAGGAAUAGAAGUUGGCCUGACUAGCAGUCCAGAAAUGCUUCCUUCUAAGACGAGCAUUGUCAUAGGGGUUGAAAUCCGUGAAGAAUACGUGCUUGCCGAAGAAGUCAUCAGCCUUGAAUUUUUGCUUCUUAGAGAAGGGGUCCUUUGGCUUGGGCUGAGGAGUAUCAGUCAGUUACAUUACCACCUCAGGGAUCGCAAUCUUAGGUUCCUUAGGCUGAGGAAUUUCAGGCUCUUCAGCAGUUUCAGCCUCGGUUGUCAAUUCUUCAUUUACAGUUUCUUCAGCACUAGUGGCUGGAAUUUCUUCAUGAACACUUGGGGUUGCAUGUGGUUCUUCAGAUCCCAUUUCCACUUCAGUGGCGGCAAGGGACUGAGGAAUAACUUGAAGGGGAGUGAACAUUGGAGAGUUGGGAUGUUGACUGUCCCAAAAUUCAUCAUUUAGCACAGGUGUGGUACAGCCAAUGUCCACAUCCUCUUCUUCAAUUUCUUCAACACCUACCUCUUUAGCAGUAAACUGAGGCAUAGGUCAGGAAAUGACUGGGGUUGAAGGGAUCUCAUCCACUUCAAUUUCUUCAUCCAACUGCUCUGUCGAAGCAGCAGAAGGAGUUUCUUCAUCAGAUUCCUCAGGAAUCUCAUAUUCUUCACCAAAAGGAACAAGGUCCUUUGAUGGCAUUGAAGAGACGGGAACGGCAUCAAUUGGAUUGUCAAUUGAACUGAUCAGAGUCUUCAUCUUCUUUGGAGCUGAAGAAUUUGAAGAGGUUGAUGCCUUCCUCUUUUUCAUCGUUGCACAUUCUGCAGCCUUGGUCUUCUUCACAUCUAAUGCAGAUGGAAGGAUCAGAGUUGGUGUAGGCGCAGGAGGUGCAUUUUCUUCACGCACAACUGUAGUAGUUGCCCUGACUUGUUCACUUUCUUCAGGCGCACCACUAGUGGGUGCCCUGGCAAUAUCUUCAGCGGCUGGAAUGCAGUCAUCAGCCCUGGUACUUUCAUUUUCUUCAGCAGCCAUACUGACAUCAGCGGUGCUGGCAUGUUCUUUAGUGGGCUGGGCAGAUUCUUCAGCUUGAGGAAUUUCAACAUGCACCGGUGCAGAGGCAGUUGAAGUGAAAGUAUUCGUCAAAUUGACGAACCGAACCUUUGCUCCUUUCCAAUCAGCAUGAUACCGAUUGAAAUCAUCACUCAGUUGCUUGAUUUCAGCUUGUACAGCAAUGAGUUGUUCAGGGGUAAGAGUGAGAACAUUGUCCUUGAGGAAGCGUUGUUUCUUGUAUCGCGGUUUCUUCAGCCUUCUUCCUUCUUCAUAUUUCCACUUCUCUUCCUCAAUGAAGUGAGUGAGGACAUGACUUUGACCAGGAGUGAGGUUCAUCUCCGGCAAAGGUGUAGCGGGUUCCUUGUGCCAUAAGUUAAUGAAAUCGAGGAUCAGCUUGGGAUCCAGAAGUAGUGGAACAUUGCUGCCUUUGGCUCUAGCGGCCCUGGCUUGUCUGUCUCUGAUGAUUUCGGCAAGUUCAUCAUCAUCCGCCUCAUCGUCAUCAGAGGGCACUUGGAAAGCAACUUGCUUCUUGUGAGGACUUGGUCGAAGACCUCGUCCAACAGUUGCCUUUUUCUUCAGUAGUGAGGGACCAGCUGAGGAAGGUCGAGCAGCUGAGGAACUUGCAGAUGCUCCAGAGGCAAUAGAGAAGCCUUGAGUCCUUUGGCACGUGGCAAGAUGCACAGGUGCCGAAGAUUUUGUCGAAGCAGCUGAAGACUUUGUCGGAGGAGGAGGAGGAGCAGACUGAGGAAUUGGCCGUGAGGGCUUUGAAGAUGCUGGCCAUGAGGGCAUUGCUGAGGAGCUUGGACGUGAGGGCAUUGAAGGAGAAGCACUGGACUUAUGGGCAGGCUUCUUUGGCAUAGCCUUCUUGGGCUUACUACCAGAGGCCUCAGCAGCGUUAGCAGCAGCAGCAAAAUCUUCUUUGAAUUUCCUCACUGCUUCUUUUGCUUGUUUGGCUAGUUUGGCCUGGCGCCUGGCCCAUUCAGUAGCAUAGUCCUCACCGCACUUGAGGCUGGUGGGAUCCGCCAGUUGGCCACGUCUCAAUGGAGGUCUUGAGCAUGGAGGGUUGAGCGCGAAUUUCUUCAUGUACUUGGGAGUAACAUACCUGUACUCCCUCCAUUCUCGUGCCCAUCUCCUCUCAAUUCAUUGUAUGCACACCUUGCGCUGAUUCUUGUCCUCGUUGCCAAACUUGGCCUCAUCAGGAGUGCAGUAUCCAGCAUAAAUAUCCUAAGGGAUUUCAAACGCUGUGUUGACCUCAGCCCUUUUUCCUCCCUUCUGUGGCUUCUUGUCAGCCAUUUUCUUCAGCUGAGGAAUAUGAACAACUAAAGUUUCCGAAGAGGUAUGCAAUUUUUCUUCAAGGAACGCUGUAAAUGAGUUAAGUUGAUGAGAACCUAGUGAUUCAGUAGCGGACAUUUUGUACCUGUGAAUAGAGUAUAGUUGCGAGGAAUUUGGAGAGGUCAUAUGCGUUCUCAGAAGGUUUUUCAAAAAGAAUAGAUUUUGAGGAAUUUGACCAGAUGAGUCUUGAGGAAUUUCACUGAGCGUUCUUUGUCUUAGGUUCCAGAGUUGUAAAGAUUUGAAAAUCCACAUAAUUGAGGAAUCUUGAAGAAAAUCAUUGCUUAGAGAAACGAAUCAAGAACACAUAACAUGUGAGGUGUUUUAGUGUGUGAAGAUUUGAAGAAUAAACACCUUUGAAGAUUUUUUUAGGAAAACACAUGAAUCAAAGAGGGUAAUAAAAGCAACUUUUAAUUACCCGAAGUGAAGAACACGACGAACUGGGAAGCGUUGAGAUGAAUUUCGUCCGUUCAGAUCUUCCACACCCUAACUUGGCAGAGGAAGACAACUACGGCGGCGGCGGAGUGAAGAAAUCUGCAACCGACGCGAGUACGACGGCGACGAGGUCGAGGCAGUGAAGCUCUUCCUCACCGACGACGAUGAAGUAGCGGAGGCGCUAGGGUUUGGGAAGCUCGAGCAGGAGAGAGGUCGAGCGGAGUAAAAGUGAAGUGAGGAGAAGACAUGGGUAUUUAUAGCGGUAGUGAAAAAAUUGUGCGCCCGAGGAUUUCGGACGAACGUGCCCCUGGCUUUUCCCAUUCACAUAACAUGUGUCACCCACGUACUGUGAGGUGGUGAUCGUGUAGGAUCGUGGGUGAAUAGAUAAGUAUUUGUCGUGAGAAGCGGAACGGUUUGAGCGGCAAAGCCGAAAAUUCAGAUAAGAUAAGUUUUAAGUUACCAUUCGUAAUUUCUUCAGCUGUUAAGGACACAGUGAAGAUUUUGAACAAGUUUCAAAUCAGAACGCAUAUGAAGAAUUUGUGAAAAGAUUAGAUUGAGUUUAGCACAGAGGGGGAAGGGUCCGAUCACAUUCAAUUAGCGAAAAUAGUCAACUUGAAGAAUUAGCAAUAAGUGAAUGUUGUAGAGGACAUAAAACUCAUAUAUAUGUAUAUAUUCAAAUGAAGACAAACGACGGAAAUAGUGAAGACAUUUGCAAGUUGAAGAAUUUGAAAAACUGAGGAAUUUCAAAAACUGAGGAAAAACUCAAAUUGAAGAUUUUCAACUUUUGUGGUGGCGUAACCCACCGUAUAAGAAAGUUGGCUUCAGACACCGCGUACAAUUGUCGUAGGGCUCUAAGAGUCAAUUUCUUCAUUAAUUUCUUCACACUUAGAGGGUUAGUCUUCAUUGAUUGAAGAAAAACGUUACUUUGUGUGUUGCGCAUCUAAGUCAUCAAGUUAGCAUAAGUGUUAGAUGUGUGUCCAUUUCAGAGAACAUUCGAAGAUUCUAAGAUAUUUAGCUCACACCGCAACUUGCUAAAUCUCUUCUCAUCCAAGGGCUUAGUGAAGAUAUUGGUCAGCUGAUCUUCAGUGCUAGCGUGGUCGAUGGAGAUAUCGCCCUUCAACACAUGAUCACGAAGAAAAUGAUGACGAAUCUGGAUGUGCUUUGUCUUCGAGUGCUGAACUGGGUUAUGAGCAAUUUUGAUUGCACUCUCAUUGUCGCAGUAGAGAGGCACAUUCUUCAUGUUGAUGCCAUAGUCCUUGAGUGUUUGCUUCAUCCAAAGUAAUUGAGCACAACACGAUCUAGCAACAAUGUACUCAGCUUCUGCAGUGGAGAGUGAUACGCAGUUCUGUUUCUUUGAGGACCAACAGACCAAAGAUCGUCCGAGGAAAUGACAUGUGCCUGAUGUUGACUUGCGGUCCACGCGAUCGCCAGCAUAGUCAGAGUCUGAAUAUCCAAUGAGAUCAAGUGAAGAGCCCUUGGGAUACCAUAAUCCAAGUGUUGGUGUGUGAGCUAAGUAUCGAAGAAUAUGCUUCAUAGCCUUAUGGUGUGAUUCCUUCGGUGUAGCUUGAAAUCGGGCACACAUGCAAACACUAAGCAUAAUACCCGGCCUAGAUGCACAUAGGUACAAUAAAGAGCCAAUCAUGGAGUGGUAUACCUUUCGAUCGAAGUCUUUACCAUUUUCAUCAGUGCAUAGAUGGCCAUUUGUGGGCAUUGGAAUUUUGACCCCUUUGCAAUCUUGCAUGCCGAAUUUCCUCAAUACAUCUUUGAGGUAUUUCUCCUGCGAGAUGAAUAUACCAUUGUGUUGUUGACGAAUUUGAAGACCUAAAAAGAAUUUCAACUCUCCCAUCGUAGACAUUUGAUAUUCUUCACUCAUCAUAUAGGCAAAUUCAUCACUAUAGCGUUGGUCAGUACAUCCAAAGAUAAUGUCAUCAACAUAUAUUUGGCACACAAACAAUUCACCAUCAUAAGACUUAGUGAAAAGAGUUGGGUCGAGUGAACCGGGUUUAAAGCCUUUCUUCAUGAAGAAUUCCUUCAAAGUGUCAUACCACGCCCGAGGGGCUUGCUUGAGGCCAUACAGGGCCUUGUUAAGUCUGAAGACUUUGUCGGGAUUCUUUGGAUCUUCAAAACCUGGGGGUUGAGCAACAUAUACUUCUUCCUCAAUCUUGCCAUUGAGGAAUGCACUUUUCAUAUCCAUUUGAUAUAAAGUGAUAUUAUGAUGGUUAGCAUAAGCAAGUAGUAUGCGAAUAGCCUCAAGUCUAGCAACAGGUGCAAAAGUUCCAUCGAAAUCAAUACCCUCAACCUAUGUGUAGCCUUGAGCUACAAGCCGUGCCUUAUUCCUCACCACAAGGCCAUUUUCAUCUUGCUUGUUGCGGUAGAUCCAUUUUGUGCCAAUGAUGGUGUGCUUGCGAGGAUCUGGACGUUUGACCAAUUCCCAGACGUUGUUGAGCUCGAACUGAUGUAAUUCUUCUUGCAUAGCUUGAAUCCACCCAGGCUCCAAAAAUGCUUCAUCUACCUUAGUGGGCUCUGUGAUGGAGACAAAAGCAAAGUGCCCACAAAAGUUAGAUAAAUGUGAAGCUUUUGAGCGUGUGAGAGGACCUGGUGCAUGAAUGUCAUCGAUGAUCUUCUCAGCUUGUACUUCAUUUGCAAUACGAGGAUGAGCGGGUUGUCUUCGAGGAAUUUGAUCCGCAUUUUCUUCAGGAGCAUUUUCCUCAGCACCAUUUUCUUCAGGUGUGCUAGUACGACGUUCAUCACGUUCUGGAAUGAAUUCUUCAACGGAUUCUUCAGUAGGAAUGACAUCCUCAAUGUCCUUGAACUUGAUAGAAUCCUCAGGUGCUGGUUCAUCUAUCACAAAAGGUAGGUGCUCUCUUUGCGAGCCAUUAGUUUCAUCGAACCGCACAUCUACAGUUUCAACAAUCUUGUGAAGAACACUGUUGAAGACUCUGUAGGUGUGCGAGUCCUUUCCGUAACCAAGCAUGAAACCCUCAUGUGCUUUCGGUGCAAAUUUAGAACUGUGAUGUGGAUCUCUAAUCCAACAUUUAGCACCGAAGACUUUGAAGUAACUUACGUUGGGUUUCUUGUCAGUGAGGAGUUCAUAGGCAGUCUUCUUGAAGAAUUUAUGAAGAUAUACUCUGUUGAUGAUGUGGCAAGCAGUAUCAAUUGCAUCAAUCCAAAACUGACGAGGUGUCUUGUAUUCAUCAAGCAUAGUGCGAGCCAUUUCAGCGAGGGUUCUGUUCUUGCGCUCCACGACGCCAUUCUGCUGAGGAGUAUAAGGAGCAGAUAACUCAUGAGUAAUACCAAGUUCAUCAAGAUAGCCAUCAAGACCGGAAUUCUUGAACUCAGUCCCAUUGUCGCUUCUGAUGUGUUUGAUCUUCAUACCAAAGUUGGUUGAAGCCCUCGAGGAAAAUUGUUUGAAGACUUCCUGCACUUCAUGUUUGUAAGUGACAAUAUGUACCCAUGUGUAACGAGAAUAAUCAUCAACAAUAACAAAGCCAUAUAGAGAUGCAUCAUUCGUCAUAGCAGAAUAAUGAUUAGGACCGAAGAGAUCCAUGUGAAGCAAUUCAAAUGGUCGAGUGGUAGUCAUGAUAGUCUUCGCUGGAUGGUUGGCCUUUGUCAUCUUUCCAGCUUCACAAGCACCGCAUAAGUGAUCCUUGAGGAAUUUGACAUUCUCAAUGCCAAUGACAUGCUUCUUCUUCGCAAGCGUGUGCAGAUUCCUCAUGCCAGCAUGACCAAGUCGUCGAUGCCAUAGCCAGCCUUCUGAAGCUUUUGCAAGUAAGCACACGGCAGGCUGUGGUCCUAUAGAGAAAUCAACAAUAUACAGAUCUCCUCUCCUAAAGCCUUCAAAGACUUUGGAAUGGUUAGCUUCCAUGAUCACAACACAACGAUAUCUUCCAAAGACAACAACCAUAUCAAGAUCACAAAGCAUUGAGAAAGACAUGAGGUUGUAUCCUAAGGACUCGACAAGCAUGACUUUGUCCAUGUGUCGAUCCUUUGAGAUCGCAACCUUACCUAGACCCAAUACCUGAUUUUUGCCUUUGCCAGCGAAGAUGAUAUGCUUCAGAUGUGAAGGUGAUAAGGGAGCAUCCAUCAAUAGAUUCUUGUAACCAGCCAUGUGAUUUGUACAUCCACUAUCGAGGACCCACUCAUUUGCUUUGGGUUGAUCAUCCUGCAGAUGAAUUAGUGCAGCUUACAAACUCAUAUACUUCAUUAGUGAAGAAUAUGAUAUCAGUAUCAUCAGUUCAAUCUCAUCAAGAAAUAGCACAGAUAAUUUAGUAUGAGGACGUGAGAAAUGACAAUUCAUUUCUUCAUGAUUAGCCUACGUCCUUUCAGGCAAUGUUCAGGUCUCCAGCAAAUUCUUCAGUCGUUUUGAGCACGACUGGAGACCUGACCCUGCAUAAGAGAUUAGUUCUUUUUCUUUACCACCCACAUCUGGAGGGGUGGCAAAGAAUUCAUCACUCUGCGAGCACCAUAUGAAAAAGGUGGCAUGGACGCCAGUCCACUUUGUUUCAUAUAAGAGGGGUUAGGGUAAGCAUAUGAAUAAGCAGAGAAAUUCUUCGAGGACUUAUGAACAUAAUGAUUUGAAAAAUAAUGCACAUAUUCAUAGCCCUUAGCUCUAUCCUGCAAAACAGAAGGGUUAGUACGAUGAUGAUCAUAUGAGGACUUUGAUCCUUUUGAGGAAUUUGAUCCACGUGAGGAAUUUGGUCCGUAUGAGGACUUGGAUCCAUAUGAAGAAUUUGGUUCAUAUGAAGAAUUUGAUCUGGAGUUCCUUUUCUUCAUUGGUGGUGUCAUGAGGACAUUCACCUGAAGACUUUCAAGGCAACUUUUGGGAACCCAGAUUUUCUUCAUAGGAGAACCGUUCCUGUAGUUAGUCCCAACAUAUCUAGCAAAUACUUCACCAUUUUGAUUUUUGAACAGUUUAUAGUUAGAGUCAAAUGACUCAUCAGAAGAAUGAGGAGAUUCACAUGUAAAGCCAGAUAAGUUGGAUGGAUCAACUGGAGGUCCCUUUGCAGCAACCCAUGAGGUUUUGGGAUACUGCUCAGGCUUCCAAUAUGUUCCAUCAGCAUUGAGUUUCCUCUCAAAGGCAAUACCCUCUUUCCUAGGGUUUCUGUUGAGGAUCUUCUUUUUGAGCACAUCACAAAGAGCCUGAUGCCCUUUGAGGCUUUUGUACAUGCCUAUCAUGUACAAUUCCUUCAGCCCUGCAUCAUCAGUGAUACUUGCAUUGUCCUCGGAUGAGGAAUUAGUGACAGCAGAGACAUAUGAAGAAUUUGUAGCAUUAGAAGCAUUUGAACAUUCAGGUGAAGAAUUAGCAGUUUCACGUUCAAUGCACUUCAGACAUGGAGGAACAAAUUCUUCCUGGGUAGUGCUGAUAUGUUGAGCAAGUAAUGAAUCACGCUCCUUCUGAAGAUCUUCAUAACUCACUCUUAGCUUCUCAAGAUCUUGCUUUCUUUGAGGAAACUCAUAAGAAAGCUUCUCAUGAUCAGAUAAGAGAGUGUUAUGAUGACCUUGAAGGUUGUCAAACUUAGACUGAAGUCUCUGAAGAUUAUCAAUUAAGGUUUUUGUGCGAUCCAUUUCUUCACCCAACAUACCAUCACUUUUGUCUAACAUGUUUUGAAGCUUUUCAAUAGCCUUUUGUUGUUUCACAGCAAUUUUAGCAAGCUGGGCUUGAGAUUUUCAUCAGAUUCAUCCUCACUAGAGUCAGAGGAGGCGUAUUUAGUUACCUUGGCACCCUUUGCCAUGAAGCAAUAGGUGGGAGCGUAGUCAUCAUUGCCUUUAUCAGCAUUGUUGGUGUUGCCAUUUUCUUCAGAGUUGAAGAUAGACUUGCUGACGAAUGCGGUAGCAAGAGCCAGGCUUGCCACACCAGACUCGGACUCCUCGGAUGCCUCCUCUUCCUCAUGAUCCUCAGAUUCAGCCUCAGAGUCCAUUUCCUUACCAAUGAAUGCCCGAGCCUUCUUAGAGCUGCUCUUCUUGUGAGAUGAAGACUUUGAGGAUUUUGAUGAUGAAGACUUUGAAGAUUCCUUCUUCUUUUUGGCAUCAUCAGAACUGUAAUCCUUGUAUUUCUUCUUCUUUAAUUCCUUGUCCCACUGAGGACAAUCUUGAAUGUAGUGACCAGGCUUCUUGCAUUUGUGACACCGUCUUUUCUUGUAGUCACUAGAUGAGGAAUCGUUGCUUCUUGAGGAUUUUCCAAAGCGACCACGUCUUGAGAACUUCUGAAAUUUCUUCACGAGCAGUGCUAGUUCCUGGCUCAGUUCUUCAGGAUCACCAAGGCUGCUGGUAGAGUCUUCUUCCUCAGACUCAUAAACGGCCUUGGCCUUGAAAGCACGUGGUUUGCCAUAGCUCGAACCAUAUAAAUCUCUCUUCUCAGCAAGCUGGAACUCAUGAGUGUUUAGACUCUCGAGGAUAUCAGCGGGAUCAAGUGACUUGUAGUCAGCACGCUCUUGAAUCAUCAGUGCCAGAGUAUCAAAUGAAGAAUCUAGCAAUCUCAUCAAUUUCUUCACCACCUCAUGGUCGGUGAUGUCAGUGGCGCCAAGCGCUUGAAGCUCAUUUGAGAUGUCAGUGAGGCGAUCGAAGGUUUGCUGAACAUUUUCAUUGUCAAGUCUUUUGAAGAGGUUGAAGAGAAUGCGAAGAACGUCAACACGAGAGUCACGUUGAGUUGAGACUCCUUCAUUUACUUUGGACAGCCUAUCCCAGAUAAGCUUGGCAGUUUCCAAAGCACUCACUCUUCCAUACUGUCCUUUGCUCAGAUGACCACAUAUGAUAUUCUUCGCUUGAGAAUCGAGUUGCUUGAAUCUCUUCACAUCAGUAGCGUUCAGAGACGGUGUGACUAAGGGAACACCAUUUUCCACAACAUACCAGAGAUCGUUGUCAAUUGCCUCAAGAUGCAUUCGCAUCUUGUUCUUCCAGUAGGGUUAGUCCGUUCCAUCGAAGGUAGGACAUCCAGCAGAGACCUUGAUCAUACCUGCGGUCGACAUAACUAAAACUCCAGGCGGUUAAACCAAAAUCACACAGAACAAGGGAGUACCUUGCUCUGAUACCAAUUGAAAGUGCGUUAUAUCGACUAGAGGGGGGUGAAUAGGCGAUUUUUAUGAAUUCUUCACUAAGGAAUUUGCUGAUGAGGAAAUUCCUAAAUGAAAAACUACUUGCAGCGGAAUAAGUACUCAGAAAGGAACAUAAUAAAACACAACCGCAGUCAUCAUGAUGAAAUAAAGACAAGCACAGAGUACAGAAAGCGUAAAUACAGGAUAACACAAGAUGAAGACAGACAGACUGAAGAAAUUGAACUGAGGAAGUUGAGAAAGUCUUCAAACAGAUAUGAACAGGCACACAGCAACAUACAUGAGGAAAUGAAAGAGUUGAGGAAAUAGAACCAGUUAGCUCGGUGAAGACAAUGAUUUGGUAGACCAGUUCCAACUGCUGUCUCAGUUGUACAUCUGGUUGGAGCGGCUGAGUAUUUAAACUCGAGGACACCCAGUCCCGGACACACAGUCCCCACCGUAUUCUCCUUGAGCUAAGGUCACACAGACCUCGCCCAAUCACUCGUGGUAAGUCUUCAGGUGACUUCCAAACCUUCACAAACUUGGUCACUCGGCGAUCCACAAUUCCUCUUGGAUGCUCUAGACCUUGACGCCUAACCGUCUGGAAGAAGCACAGUCUUCAAAGGAAAGAAGUGUCCGAUCCACGCAGGAUCAAUCUCUUCAGUGAUGCUCAAUCAUCUGGGGGUUUGUAGGUUUGGGUUUGGGUUUUCCUCACUUGAUGAUUUUCCCUCAAAGUCCUCGGAGGAUGGGUUGCUCUCAAAUGACAAGUGUCAGUUUCUCUCGGAGCAGCCAACCAGCUAGUGGUUGAAGGGGGCGGCUAUUUAUAGCCCAGGGAGCAGCCCGACAUGAUAAGACAUAAAUGCCCUUGUCUGAUAUGACCGUUAGGUGGGUAGAUAUUUUGGAACCGCUGGCGCGUAGCACAGCAACGGUCGGAAUUUUGACUAUCAAAAUCCUCAGGGCUAUCAUGUUCCUCAUUGUGUAGGCAAUUCACACUGGUGAAUUCCUAACUCCUGAGUCAGAACAAAUUCCUCAGAGAUUAGAAGAAUUCGUCUCUGUCACUGAAGAAUAUGACUGAACUGUGUGAGAUUUCCAAUGGCUUCACUCGAAGGGAUUGGUAGGUGUAGGAUUUUGAGUUGAGCAUCACAUGGAAAAUUUUCCUUAGUAUUUCCUUGACCCCCUUUAACAGUACGAUGUUUCCUAUGACUCAAGAAAGAGAAAAUGAAACUAUAAAAACAAAAGUCUUCAUGCUUCAUGUUCCUUGAAAGAAUACCAAGUCUUCAAGGUCACACCAAUUUCUUCACUUUCAAAGUUUUCAGUAAGUCUUCAGAAAGUCUUCAGAAAUCCAAAGUCUUCAGAUGAAGAACUUCAUUUUUAGGGGUCGACAUUCUCUGUAAAUAUCAAACUCAUCAUAGAAUUAUAUACCUGUGUACACUCACAAACGCAUCAGUCCCUUAACCUAUAAGUCUUCAAUACACCAAAAUCACUAAGGGGCACUAGAUGCACUUACGUGGUGGAACACCGACAGCGCUUCGCUAAGCGUCGUCGGGACGAGGCGAUGGAACUACGGAAUAACGGGAGAGAGGGGACGCCAAGGGCUUGGUGUGUCCUCUUGGGGCGCCCCUCCCCACUAUACAUAGGUAGAGGGGUGUGGUAAACAGCCCCUCCAAGCCUUAGGGCGCAGCUAAGGGGGAGAGGACUUGGACUCCAAGUCCAAUCCUAUUCAAUUCCUACUAGGACUUCUUCCUUUUUUGCCUUCUCUAGCAACAUGGGCUUUUGAGGACUUAGUGCGCCUAGACAAAUAAGGCCAGGGCGCCUACCCACAACCCAUGCUAGCCCUUGGGUCAUGAUGGAACCACUUGUGGACUUCUGGACCCCUCCGAAAUCCUCCGGAACCUUCUGGAAGCUUCCCAGUACAAUACCGAAAAAACUGCAUCUUUUUCCGGAACCGAAAAUAUGACUCCCUAUAUAUAAAUCUUUACCUCUCGACCAUUCCGAGACUCCUCGUGACGUCCGGGAUCUCAUACGAGACUCCGAACAACAUUUGGUUACCACUCAUCAAAUAACCCAAUACUCUAGCGUCAACGAACGUUAAGCGUGCGACCCAGCGGGUUCGGGAAUUGUGUAGUCAUGACUGAGACACCUCUCUGGUCAAUAACCAAUAGCGGAACCUGGAUGCCCAUAUAGAUUCCUACAUAUUCUACGAAAAUCUUUUAUCGGUUGAACCUUUAUGACAACAUACGUAAUUCCCUUUGUCUGUUGUUAUGUUACUUGCCCGAGAUUUGAUCGUCGGUACCUCUAUACCUAGUUCUAUCUUAUUACCGGCAGGUCUCUUUACUCGUUCUGUAAUACAUCAUCUUGCAACUAACUUCUUAGUCACUUUGCUUGCAAGCUUCUUGUGACGUGUAUUACCGAGAGGGCCCAGAGAUACCUCUCCAAUACACGGAGUGACAAAUCCCAAUCUCGAUUCACAACAACUCAACAGACACCUUCGAAGAUACCUACAGAGCAUAUUUAUGAUCACCCAGUUAGAUUGUGAUGUUUGAUAGCACACAAGGUAUUCCUCCAGUAUCCGGGAGUUGCAUGAUCUCAUGGUCGAAGAAACAUGUAUUUGACAUUAAGAAAGCAGUAGCAGUAAACUGAACGAUCAUAUGUUAUGCUAAUGGUUGGAUCUUGUCCAUCACAUCAUUCUCCUAAUGAUGUGAUCCCGUUAUCAAAUGACAACACAUGUCUAUGGUUACGAAACCUUAACCAUCUUUGAUUAACGAGUUAGUCUGGUAGAGGCUCACUAGGGAUACGGUAUUUGUUUACGUAUUCACAUAGUAUUUAAGUUUCUGAACAAUAUAAUUCUAGCAUGAAUAAUAAAUCUUUAUCGUGAUUUAGGAAAUAUAAUAAUAACCAUUUUAUUAUUGCCUCUAGGGUAUAUUUCCAUCAUUUCUGUGGGAGGGCUUGUGUGGGGAUAUAUAGCCUUUGUCCCCCCUCCCACCUCAAACACAUACUAUUAUAGAAUUUAUCAAAAGAACAUAUCAAUAAGUUUAAUUUUUCAACAAUCUAACAAUUAAAAAAUAAUUUACCAAUUGUCAGUUCGAAUGAAUCCAUAAUAAUCACUAGUCAUUCGUUUCAAUUUAUCAAUUCUGAGUUUCAAUUUGUGAUCGUGAUUAAAUAUUUGAACAUUGAAGGCAAAAUCUUACUUUCAAUUGAAGAAGAUGGAAAUGAUACUUUGAACUGGAGAGAUGAGAAGUGGGUGGAGUUCCUGCCUCGGUCUACCAGUCGGCGCACAUGCCCGUGCCAAACUUGUUCAAGUCAUUCAGUUGAAGGAUCGCGCCUGCCGUAGCCAGGAUUUCUGGUCAGGGUGGUCCAAUUAAUAUUAAGAAAAUGUUUACACUAAAUACACAACACACUAGCACAGGUGCAUCUAUUUGCUAAACCUGCCCCCCACCCCACCCCACCCCACCCCCCGCGUGCUUUGAAUCAAUUUAUGAUAUUUUUAUGGGAAUUACAUGGGGAAAAUGAGCAUUUCCCUUCGUCAAAUAUUCAUAUUGUGCCUUUGGCCCUGUCUCGGCAGAUGAUGUCAAAAGUUAACAUUUCAAUAAGUUUAAUUUUGUACAAGUCUACGAUAAAAAAGUUAAUUUAUCAACUGAUAAUUUGAAUAAAGCCAUAAUAAUUGUUAAUCAGUCGACUGAAUUAUCAGUUCCGAGUUUCAAUUUGCACUCACAAUUAACUUAUUCGAACCUCGAAGGCAAAAUCAUACUGUGAAUUGAAGAAGAUAGAAAUCAUAUUUUGAAUCGGAGAAAUGAGGAGUUGGUGGAGUUCCUGCCUUAGUCCCCUAGUAGGCGCACACAUGCUUGUGAAUAUGUCAGCAACGGAUUCAUGCCAUGGAGCCGCAGAAGGGACAUCGGCGCCCAAAAGCCUGACUCGAGUAAUCAUUUAUUUGGUACCGCUAAAAGAGCGGGACUGCCAUUCUAUCUUGGGGGAUUCCAUCCACAAACACGAAGUUUGUUGGCUUUGGACUUGAGCGUAUGUUGUGGCUUGCCUGGUUUUAUUUAUAACUAUACUGAAGUAUUGGUCGAUUUAUAGGAUGGUCCAUGGACCAUCGUGUCCACGGUGCAGAUACACCACUGGAGAGACACAUGUGAGUCACUGUCAUGCAUCACUUUGAUUGUUAACCCUGUUUUACAAGCCAUGUUUCGCUAACGGAUAGUUACAUUCUUGAGGUUAUUGAUUGCAGAUGUUUCCCGACAAUAUUUGUUCAAACAGUUUCGCCAAAGUACAUCUAGAUGUGCCAUAAGUAUUGCACAUUUAAGUCUUAUGUCAUUGAUUUUACGCGAAGGUUCGUGUGGGUAUUUUUUUUUUCAAACUUGAUUGUGUCACUUAGAUGUGCAAUAAUUAUGGCACAUUUAGAUGUGACAAACCCUCUCCAAUUGUACUAUAUCAAUACAUAAGAUAUGGUGGUGAUUGCCCGGAUAAACUUCUCAACCCACCGAUCCAGCAUCCUAUCUGCCAAUUGAGCACUAGUCCCUGCCAAAAUUUACUAGCGGCAGUAAGAAGACCAAAAUGGGGAAGGCGUUACUUCAAAUCCAAGCACGUUCAUGAGGAAAAGGUGAAAAGAAUCCUCAUUAGAUAGUGAAAUAGAACGUGAAACCGUGCUGUAAACCGUUGCAAAUCGUUUUUCUUGGUUCCUCCUGCCCCAAGAAAAAUUAGGGUUUCUCUGCCUCCUGCCACCGCCGCCGGUCUGCUUUGUCUUUGGUGGCCAUAGGACCAUAGGGGUGUGAUAGAUCCGGCCUUUGCCGAUGGGAGGGCUUUGCUUUUUGACUUUUUUUAGUUUUCUAGGGUCUUUGUCCUGCUCAGGAAGAUGUGACAGCGGCGGCUCCUUGAAGAUGUAAUAAGGUUCUUCCCACCUAGCCCCCGUUCCGGUGGUGCGUCUAAUCAUCGUCGGUGGACAUGUGAAUGUAUGUCUCCGAUGGAUCUGUCUUUUGUAGAUCUGCUCGGAUUUUAUCGUUGUUUGACUAUGUUCGUGCAUCUUUCGGUUGGAUCCUUUCGAUCGAAGCUACUUUUCAUCGACAGCGGUUGUUGUUCUGAUGUGUUAGUCUUAUGAUGCCUUAACAUAGCGACUUUUCUAACACGACGACUUCUAUUUUUAUUAUUUUUAGUUUUUGUUUGUACUGCCAUGAUUGAAGAUGAACACUACCUCCGUUCUGGUAUAUUAGUUCCCUUUAUAUUCUGUUCCAAAUUUUAACCUUAAAUUUAACUAAUAAAAUGUUACUGCAUAUUAUAAAAUAUAAUAUAAAUGAAAACUAUAUUUAAAUACAAAUCCAACGAUAUAAUUUUUAGUGAUAUGCAUUUAUAUUUUAUUAGUUAAAUCUCUAGUCAAAAUUUGGCACAAAAUACAAACAGAACCUAUAAACGAGGACGGAGUACAUCGAAAGUUUUAUAAAAAAAAUCAAGUACGGCGUGACCUUCUAGUGGUGAAAUCGAAGUUGCCGGCGUGCACAAUGGGCGAUUUACGAUGACGCGUUGGUGUACCCUCCCGCGUGUCAUGUGUUACACCGACGUCUUGCAUGUCUUGUGAUGCUCACUUUUUGCGGGUCUUUCACUAAUCCAAUCUCUUCUCAAAUCUCAAAGCACUUACUCCUCACAGAGGGAGUACAUCGUACGGUGUCCACCUCGGUGGCAAACUAUUUUCCAAAUCUAAAACUUCAAAUAUGUUGAAACAAAGGGAUUAUGUGUUUAAACCUGACUGAUGCCAUCUAGCUACAGUCCCAACAUUCGGGUCACAGAUAUGCUAUCACUUAGCUGCACGGCACGGCUGGGCAGGACCAAAAUGCAAAAGAGACGUCACAGUCCAAUUAGAGCAAGUCAAUUCUGCCAAGAGUUAGGUUGCUUGGUGAGACUGUUACAUCGUAAUUCAUCGUACCAACACAUAGAUAUUGUUCCUAUCACAAAGUUGGGUUCGACUUUUAAAGGGUUCUAAUGAAUACAACAGUGUUUUAGCUGAAGCUCGGGCUGGUUCAGUUUUCAGUGACUAGAAUCUAGAUUUGUGUUCAGAUACAAUGCCAGUGCAAUGCAAGAAUGCAAAAUGUUCUGAUCCAACAAAGCCAAUGGGGUGUUGCAACUUCUCAUAGCAGAAAUGAGCGGGUGUAUGUGUUUAUUAUCAGAUCCUAGGAACCAGCUGUGGACUCAUUUCCCGUAUGGGUGGUACCUGCCCGAGCCUCGACCACUCGCACUUCCACCACCACCCAUGCUUCCAGCUCCCCCAUAGCCACCAUACCCGCCUGCACCUGCACCAUAGCCGCCAGGUGCACCAUAUGCGCCACCUCCGUAGGCACCCCCAUAUGCCCCAUAGGCACCAUACGGGCCUCCAUAUAUAGAACCACCAUAAGCAGAGCCAAAACCUGACCCAUAGGCAGGGUUACCUCCAUAUGCACCAUACCCUCUACCGUAGGCACCAUAUCCUGCACUACCAUAGUAGGCAGCUGCAGCUGAUCGGUAGUCAGCUCCAUACCCAUAACCACUGCUGCUGCUGAUGGCAGAACGGCCUCCACCACCACCACCACCACCACCUCCACCGCGGUAUGAACUACGGUGGCCACCUCCUCCAUGGCUAUGUCUACUGUUAGAGCUUGAAUCACCACCACCAGGUUUCUUUGGCUCGGCUCUUUUUAUUUCAACCUGC
RNAcentral lists this long non-coding RNA (29249 nucleotides) under Triticum aestivum (bread wheat). RNAcentral's name for it is "long non-coding RNA (TAES_LNC016538)". Lineage: Eukaryota; Viridiplantae; Streptophyta; Magnoliopsida; Poales; Poaceae. The record is from RNAcentral.